This is a non-coding RNA of Equus caballus (horse), 28155 nucleotides long. The record is from RefSeq and is a predicted model, not a curated record. Lineage: Eukaryota; Metazoa; Chordata; Mammalia; Perissodactyla; Equidae.
AAGAUUGGCAACAGUUGUUAGCUCAGGUGCCGAUCUUAAAAAAAACCAAAAAACAAAAAACCUAAGAGAGUUGUUCUUCCUUAUAACAUUAGCCUAUGUCUGUCUUUGAAAACUAUGAAUUUUUUCCUGAGGCUAAUUGGAAAAUUGCUACAUAUAAAGUUAGUCAUUUUGACCUUAAAAUGCUUAUGAACCUUACUUACAUUAUCAUGCCUCCUGUUGUCUAUAGUAACUGUGGAUUUAAAAGUUUAAUUUCCUUCCCUGUGUCAGUGGUUUUGAACUCUGCGUCAAGAUAGUUCCGGGGCAGAAGAAGACAAGACUUGUGUCACAGGUUGGCUUUCUGUCUAAAAGGCGGUUGGAAGAAAGAGAUUCCCUGAUUUAUUUUUUUUUAAAGAAAACCACUGCCAUAGGUUAAAAUUAAUGGUUAUACAGAAAAUCAAAGCUAGAUUAAUAAUGCUCAGAAAUAUGUGUGCAUGCCUGUGUUUUGGGGGUGAGGGGAGAGAGAAGGAAAAGUCACGAACUAACCAUCAACUUUGCGGGGGCUAGAGCAGAAAGCUAAGAAGUUAAAGUUUUAAUUUUUCUCAUUUCUAUCGGCAACAUGUUUUAGAACAUUGAAAGCAAAAAUUGGACCAGCUUUAUUAUUUAGUCUAGAAUUUAGUUUUCAUUAUUAUUUAGUUGAUUAUUUAGUCUAGAAAACACCGUUUCUUAUGAAGAAUAAGUAUAGUUUAUUUUAUUCCUUUAGACAAGUCGACUGCUCCCCCAGGAGCUGGCAAACAGCGCUGUGGUGUGUGGACGCAAGGCUCUGCGUCGGAACCUCCUGGCUUUCUCUGCAAACCUCCCUGCCCUUUGGUUUGUAUAGUUUAGAAUGUCGUUUUGAUUACUAGAAAUCCAUUUCAGGUACCCUAGAAGACUUAGUUGCCACAUCAUCCCUCCUCUCCUGCAAAAAGCAACAAAAAAACCCAAACUGCUUUCCAUCGACAUCAGUGGUUGUCGGGCAGCUGGUAUUUUGCCCCCCAGGGGUCUUUGGCAGGGCCUGGAGAGGGUUCUGUGGGUCAUAUGGGGAGGGAGCGCUCCUGGCAUCUGGAGGACAGAGGCCCGUGGGCGCGAUGCACAGGCGCCUUGUCUUCCGCGAAGAAUUGUCUGACCCCAAAUGACAAGAGUUCCAAGGCUGAGAAACCCUGAUCUGAGGAGACCUAGCCAGUCUCGUCUUGUGUUGGGUGUCUGUUUGGCUGUCCGUUGUCCAAUGCAUUCUUUACUUUUUGAAAAAAAAAGGCAGCGUCCGUGAUCUCAGCAGAAAGACAGCCAUGUGUGUUGUUUCCAAGGAUGAGUCCUGCCCUCCUGCCCCGUCCUCUUAAAGUCAUGCAAUCAGAUCGCUCCAGGUCUGCUUGUGAGAAACAUGAACAGAACCCUUGUUUCCCUAAGCGGGAAGUACUGAUUAAGGAAUUUCUAAGUAGGGAGAAGAGCAGAGUCGUGAAUACCCCAAUAAAUGGCAAUUUGGGGUUUCCCGCUGUCCCUCUGUUGGCCUUUGCUGUGGGGUUGUUGGCAGUUCUCAUCUGAUCCUCAGUAAACAUGACUGCCCUGAUUCUUGGAAAAGCACAGACCAGUUUACAGUGAAUUCCACCACCUGCUCCAGUGUGAACGCCGGCGCGGCCAGCAAGCUGUGUUCUUAGGGGAUUCGAGGAGAGCCUUUGUGUUUGGUUCUCCCACAGAUGGCAGAUGAGUGUCAUUCGGGGAGUGCCCAGUAAAUAUUGGUGAUGGGCUGAUGUCAGGCCUGGGUGAGUGUCUUCCCUGACUCUGUCAUUCCUGUGACGGAGGCCAUGAUCAACCUUUUCUCCCCGUCCGCCCGGGCUACUCGAAUAGAAGCUUAGGAACAUAAGCAGUGAGCUUUUCAUUUCUGAGCAUUUGCAGGGAGAGAAUGCUUAGAAAAUUAAAAAUUGUGCUUCUUCAAAUUAACGAAAAGGGGUGUUCAAAACAGCCCACUGAGAACUAUUUGUCUAACUCGAAGUUGCUUGACCCUGUUUUGACAGCACGUGUGCCCUCAUCUCUGCCUCAUGGUGAGAACUUUUCGUCAGCUCUUGCAAAACAUUUUGACUACAGUGAAAGCUGAUCCAUCUUGUUGUGCUCACAUGGAUCGGGAGACAAAACCAUGUGAAAAUCUUGGUGCUGGAAAAGAAGCCCAGAUGGAUUGGGGUUUGCUUUUAAUUCUGAGUUCUAUCCAUGUAGGUCACGGUGUAUACACUGGAAAUGCAAGCUGUUUUUAACCCCAAAAGGUGGUUUAAACGCAUGUGCGAUUUGCAGAUCUGUUCCUCAACUUGUACAGUAGGGUUUUGAGUCUCAGUUCCAGAGAAGGGAUGACAGGCAAGCCCUAGCCCGAGGAGCAGGAAUGGGGUGGCAGGGGCGCCUGUCCCUUUUCACUUGGGGCCGCAGUGUGACGUGACCUCACCACUGUUGCCAGCCCUGGUACCGUAAAGGAAUGACUGUCCAGAGAUCAUUGCUGGGUCCUUUGAUCGAAAGGGCUGAUCUAGAAGAAAGAAGUCCCAGUCAGCCCGAGGAAUCAGGUAAUCAGAGAAACCGUACAGGCAGUGGGAUGCUCAGCUGCUGGCACGAAGGCAGAGUCCACUUGGGUAACAAAGCACCUUUUCCAGGUCAUCCAGUAGGACUGUAGCAACCGGGACCAACACUGGGCCCAUUAUACGAUCGGCUCUGUUCCUCGGGCUGGUUCUGCAGUUUGUAUCCUCUGCUCUUUCCUGCAUUGCAUUUGACUGUUAGCCAGCUUGGAGCUUAACGCCUUCCAAAGAUGUUGGUUUUCCUAAAGAGAUGUUAACACACUCUACCUGGGCGACAGCAAUUAAAAAGCAAGAGUGAUAAGUACCCCUGUGUCCUUCAUUCCCAUUUAGACCUUGAAAAAAUACUUUCCAUUUUAAUCAUAUCGUCGCUUGACUGAAGACUGGUGGCAUUCCAGAAUGGUGCUUCAGUUCUCAAACCCCUUACUGAUGGGCGGGAGUCAGCAGCCAGAAAUUACCAGUGACUUCCCCCGCCUUGGACUUCAGCUUGACUACGUGAAAGCGCUCAGCCCAGAGAGACACGUUGAUGCUACGUUCUCACAUUAAUGAAUCAGCCGGAGAAACUUGGGUAGAUUCUCAGAGCUGGAGGUCUUGGGGUCAUCGACGUUUUAUGUUUGGAGAGGUCCAGGGCAAAGAGACAGAAGUAGCCCCCAAUCGCUGUUAGACCUGGAGAGUCCAGGAGUUGAUGCUACCUUCUUCCUUGAACUUGAUACUGGACCUCUUAAUCUCAAGUUCGUGUGCCCGAAGUAUAGCAGGCCAAACGCUGAGACAUCAUCUGUGCUUGGAGUUGGAGAAAGGUUUAUUUGCAUUGGCCAAAAGGAGAAGGCAGGAGCCUGGGUUCCUCGCUCAAAUGCCCCUCCCCAAGAAUAGAAAGCAGGGGCUUUUAUAAGAGUUAAGGGGUUUGGCGGGUGGAGCUUUGGAGAAACAAAGGGGUCACUCCCGAUGAGCCCCUGGACAAUCUGAUGUUGGGGCUUCACCGACUGCUGAGGGCUGGCCAUCUGGGGAUCCCAGCCUCCCUGAAGGAUUUCUCUUUCUUCCGCCAAACAAACUCACAACUCCUCAAGACCUGAGGCACCCCUCAAGCUAAACAAGUAAACAGCAAAUCGACAAAAUUCGUCUAUUGUCUGUGCUGAGAACAAGGUCAAAAGGCAGUCAUGUUCUUAUUGAAUAUCUACAGUGACCCUCAGCUCACCAGCUUCAAACUCAUGGCGGGACAUGCAAAUCUGCAUCUUCCCUCCGUCCUGAUUCUCGGCGGUAUAUGCCACAGAUCUCAGGGGUUUGAGAAACGAAUAAAACGCGCCUGUGUUUUCUUCUCAAACUGGGCAUGAGUAUGAGGCACCCUUCAUACUGCAUGUUUGUUUUUCUCCAAGAGCAGUGUUGGGGUUUUCUUCCUCAUAAGCAGUUAAAUAGCCCUCAGGCCAAAGGAGGGCCUCUGGACCCACUGUGGGAUUGAGCCCCUGGGGGUUCUUAGCCUGGGGCUUCCGUGAGCUUGAGGAGGGCUUGUCAUCUUACGAAGCUUUGUCCUACGUCUCCUCCUGGGUCAGGGCUCGAGGAGCGAGUCUCCUGCCGGGGUUGGUAAUUGGCUGGUACUGAGACUUAGUCAUCGGGGUACUCUGCCCAUCUUUGUAGACAAAGGAGGGAAGAGGGAGUGGGAAUGUCAGGCCUGCUGCUCUGCAUCUCUGUUGCGUCGUGUGGGAUGGAAAAGGAACUUCAAAGCAUCAACCACUUCAAAACCCCAGAUCAAGCUGAGCCUCCUCCUGGCAGCCCACUGACAGGCUGUUACUGCACGAAAACGCAGCUGACACUUUAUUAUUUUGGGGGGAGGGUGGCGGGAUCCUGUUAUUUCCCUUCUGAAGUGUAAAGGCUUCUUUUCUAGUGUGUCAUCUUCACAAAAGACCACAUGUUUUAAGAUUCCAUUUGUAUGAAAUGUCCCAAAUAGGCAAACGCGCAGAGACAGAAAGCAGGUUCGUAGGUAGGAGACGUGACUGCCAUUGCAUGGGUUUCUUUUUGGGGUGAUAACAUCCUGGAUGAGAUAGUGGUGAUGGCAGCACAAGGUAGCAAAUACUCCACAAACACUGAAUUGUGUCCUUUGAAAUGGCGAAUUUUAUGUCCUGUGAACAAUAUCUCAAUAAAAAAAUGAAUACAUAGUAUGUCAUCUUAAGGUGAGGACCAGUGAAAACUGGUGUUGGGGUGACAGAUCCACCAGAACUCUGGGUGAUCACAACAGCCCUCCUGUUUGUUGUGCACCCCGUUGUUCCAGGGCCUGCCACGUGUUCACCCACUUAAUCCUCACAGCGGUCCCCUGAGGUGGGUGCUGUCAUUACCCACAUUUUACCCACGAGGGAGCUGAGGCACAGGAGGACCUUGUUCAAGGUCACACAGCUGAGGCACGGCAGAGCCAACCCCCACCCUAUGCAGUCUGGCUGCAGAAUCUGCACCUGCACCCAGGGGCUGUGCUCCUGUCUGGGCUCUGCUAAGGUCACUGCAGGAUUCUGACAACUAUCCAGAGAGGCCUGUCUGUGAGCUCAGGGACCCAGGGUGGCCCCGGCUGAGCACUGGCACAGGCGUGGCCACAGCAAAGGCUGUUUGCACAAAUGGAUCGGCCCCCUGGCUGCCAUGCCAGCUCUGCAGGUGACAUCAGCCUGCUCCGGCCCCUGUUUGUUGGUACCUGGGGCGCUGGCGGCCUGUGCUGCAGAUGGGUCCCUGCGGACGUCUCCUCCUUGCCGGUCGCCCCCCUCAUGGUGGCUGCCACCCCGGCAGCUGUGUCUGCUUGUGAGCUCUGGUGAACGUGCACACGACUCCAUCCAGCCCAGCUUUUCCAUGGGAAACAGUGCCAGAGCAAUUUGGCAUAAUGUUUUAUGCUUUUAAAAUCAGACAUACUGAUCUCUGAAUGAAGGAAAAGCCAGUCACCUGGGGUGUCUUAAAAUGAGCCUCACUCUAAGUCAAUAAUACAUAUAAAUAAUGAUCUAGUUACUUUCCAUUUUGUUGAACACUUAAAAAAUACAAUUUUAGUGUUCUAAUUUAUCUUGAGAACCUCCUUUUUUCCUAACAAGAGAAACAUAGGUGCCUAUUUGGCACCUGGAGCUCUCAGCCGUGUGGACUGAGAGGCAAGGUGGGGUCGUGGGUAAGGGCCUCUGUCUGGUUGGAAGCCGCGCCUGGCUGCUUGGCAGCCGUGUGCCCUUGGACAGGUUUACUGAGUGUCCCUGUGCUUCUUUUCCUGAAAUGGGACAGUCCUGCCCCCUACCCCAUAGCGGAAGGUGGGGGUUAAAUGCCUAACAAGCACACAGCACCGGAGAGGAGCCAGCAGGAGGCACAUGCUAUGCCAGCUCUUCAUGGUGAAUCUGAGGGCCUCAGUCUGGAAAGUUAGCCGUAAAGCGGCAGCGGGAAGUCAUACAUUUGUAUCGACCCUCCCCUGCUUCCGAGCAGCUUCCUUCACUGUCUCACUGGAUUCCAGUAUGGUCCCCAAUCGACACGUGGGAAAUGGAAAGUGGCAAGUGUGUUCGAGACCACACCCGGCAUCGUUAACGUCUUAGCUGGGUCUGGAACUCCAUUCUCCUUACUUUUAAACCAGUUGUAUUUGUUUUUGAGAAGAAUCUUUCGAGGUGAUUUAUCAUUAAUUUCUUAGUGAGAAAUUGAAAAAAAAGGAAGAUGUGUUUCAAGAUUCAGAAAUGCUUAACGAUCCAACAACGGAGAUGCGUUAUUUGAACCACUGCCUGAGUCUGGAGCCUGGCUUCUUUUUAGUUCCACAGCUUCUAGCCCGUUCUGUUGUGUUUGUUCACGGGCUAUAGGUUGUUGGAAGUAGAAGGGGUAUUAGAGAUAAUCAAUAUUAACCCUCUAUUAAAUGAGGAAACAUUUCCCGGGAGCUGGUGUGACUUUAUUGAGCCUGUAAACAAGAAAAUAGUUGAAACCCCAGAAUCUGACAUAUUGGUCCAGUUCCCAGUCUGGCUGCCUCUCCCUUUUGACAGCUUGCCUUUCAUGUGUAAAAGGAUUCACUCCGAGUGCUCCUGGCAGGGGGUCUGCCUGCCAUGCUUUAUAAAGCCCGAGGUUCAUGUGCACAUAGUAGGUGCACAAAUAGCCCUCCGCCCUCCUCUCUGGGAUGACUGCUGAGCCCUCUCUCUCCUGCACCCAGCCCUUCUGUAGCAUCUUUUCUGCCAUCUCCGAGCAGAUUUGCAAAUGGUUAAUUUCUGUGAAUCCGUUUUCCCACUUGUGAAAUAGGUACAUGUCUGCCCAUUUCAUGAAGUCUGUAAGAGGAUGAAAUGAGCAAAUGCCUGUAUGUGCUUUAGCACCGUGCCUGGUGUGUAAUCAGUAUGGUUGGUGUGGUUCUCCUUCAGGAUUGCUCUCUGGACUCAUUUUAAUGUGAAUGGGAACCCUUGGUGGUGGCAGUGGGGACAAGAGGUUUGCUUGGGGCUCCAAGGCCUUAGGCUUGGGUCUCCAGAAUGCCCCCUGCCUGGUUUACCCAACUUCCGUUCUCCGUCAUCUCAAGCGAAGACGUCACUGGCCCCUUCUUGCGGAAUCCCUAAAGUUGCUGGUUUGGCUGCUUCUCCGAUUAGAAGGUGAUGAAAGACGUAAGUUGUACUCAUCCAGAAGGCUAAAGAGAAUUGCACGUGCUCCUAUUGCACCGAAACACCCCCAGGUGGACACUCAGUCUGUCCAGGACGGGUGGCAGGAUCGGUUCCGCUUCCCUGGGCCGCACCCCUCUGGAGCACUGCCCUUCCACCAGGAGCCCGCCAGUGGGAAGGAUGUGCGGGUCUCUGCUGAGUUCUCCACAUUCUCUGGCCCAGCACACAGCUGUUUAGCACACAGGGCCCAGCACAGUCACAGAACUUUCUGCCCUCUGUUGACUGGUCGCUUGCUAGCCUGUGUCUCUGCAGACUGUAGCCCCACAUCAGUAGACAUGGUCUUGUUCGCUUCUGCAUCUGUAGCUCCCAGCACAGGGCCCAGCACACAGUUGGUGCUCAAUAGAUGCUUUUAAAAUAAACCACUGACUAGACAAACUUUAAAGCAAGGGAAGCGUCCGUGAACAAGAAGCGAAGGGUGAACCUUGUUGUCCUUUCCGGGCUUAGCAGGCUGGGCUCAGCAUGACCUGGCCUCUGUGCACCGCCUGCUCUUCGCCCUCUGUGCGACCAUGACUCUCCUUGCCUUCCAUUUCCCGGUGCUCCUCAUGUCCCUUCCCGCCACACAGGGCACACAGUACGGUUUGCCAGGUUGUGCAGUGCACAAGGCCACUCCACCGAAGGGUAUGCGAGUGCUGCCCAGGACAAACCUCAGGAGAGCCACAAACACGAGCCGCAUGGGUAAUUUUAAAUUUUCUCGUAGCCACGUGAAAAAAAAGUAAGAAGCAGCAAGUGGAAAUUAAGAAAAUAUUUUAUUUAAUCCAAUAUAUCCAAAUUGUGCCCUUUCAACAUGUAGUCAAUAUUGAAAUAGUUGAGGUAGCCUAUAUAUUUUUUCACAUGAAAUUUUCAAAAUUCAGUGUAUAUUUUAUAUUUGCAGCACAUCUCGACUUAGACUAGCCACAUUUUAAGCGCUUAGUAGCCAACUGUGAUGAGCUGCUAUAACAGAGAGCAGCACAGAGUUGUGCCAUUGGCAUUCCAAAUAAUGUGGACCUGAAUAAACAAGUUUUCUGGAAGUUGACAGUAAAAGGUCUUGUUCUACCCAAAUCAGUAAAUUAUGACAAUUUUCCUACAGAAGCAAAGGGUCUUGAGGAGGUACUGCCUUUUUCCUAAUUUGCACAUAGAUACUCUGGGCCGGUGGUGGCCUUGCUACCACAGGGCUUUUGCACAUGCUGUUCCCUCUCCUGGAAGUCCAUCCCCAUUUGACUGUCAGCAUCUGCUUAUGUUUCUAUUAAGUGUCACUUCUUCCAGGAGGGCUUCAUUCCAUUUUCUCACAGACCCUUGUUCCUUUGCCUCAUAGCACUUAAUUGAAUUUAUAAUGAUAUAUUCCUGUGUAAGAUUAUUUGAUCAAAUUCUGUCUCCAACACAAAAUGGUAAACUCUCGGAGGGCAAGUUGUCGUGUAUUUUUGCUCCCCACGGAAUCCCAGCCCUGAGCAUGGCGCUGAAUGCAUGGAGGGGUCCCUAGGGAUGCGCUGAGGCUCUGCCUGUGACCGCAGGCACCAGUGGCCACCAGCCCCGGCAGUUUCAGACGCUCAUGUUCUUAUGAUCCCAGAUACGUCUUAUUCUCCGCCCCUGGGAUCGGGCAGGAACUAGAAUGUCACUCAGGGUCUCUCCAGGGAAGAAAGCUGACUGUCCCCUGUCUCAGGGCUCAGACAUGUUUCCGGUGCAAAGUGUGUGAAUGCGUCUCAUCACUUCCCCCGAGUCUGUUCCCGGUGCCUCCGCCUUACAUCCCUACAGAGCUGAGUGACCUUGAGUUUUGUCCUGGACGCACUCAGGAGAUUUCAUCAUGAGUGGCCGCUUCAAAGCAAAUAUUUUAAAAGUGGGUUAGUUGGUAUGAGGAGAGACGAUGCACGUGGUAAGACGCUGCAUUGUGAAACACACAGGGUUGUGCAAGUUCCUCUCUGAAAUCUGGGGCUGCAAGCUGGGAAGUUUACUUAAUUGCGUCAUAUGCUAACUUCUCCCUUCCCAUCCUCCUAGUAUCCCCACUACAAAGUAAAAUCCACACAUGGGGCCAUUAUGAAUAAAAGCUAUACAGUGAAUUACGAGCACAAGGUAAAAUGCUUACUCACCAAUUAGCAUUAAUAAUAUGUAUGUUACAUUAAGUGUAGUAGUUAAGAUUUGGAACUCUGAUGACAUCAGACUGCCUAGAUUCAAAUCCUGGCCUUGCCAUUCAUCCGCUGUAUGACCUUGGACAAGUUACUUAACCUCUCUGGGGCGCUGUUUCCUCAUCUGUAAAAUGAAGUAUUUAAAAAACAAAGAACCCACCUCAUAAGUGUGUUGUGACACUUAGGAGAGCUUCUGACCAUAUGGUGCCUGCAGAACAUUAUGCCAGAAGUUGUGUUUAUGUUCUUGAAGGAGUUUGCGCCUAUAUGGCAUUAAAGAACUGGUUAAGGAUGGACACUUCAGGUGGUUAUGUGCAGACGCAGCCUUAAUUUGAGAGGACACAGGGCCCAGCACCUGCUAAUGUUUGCAUCAUUCCUUGAGUCUUCUUUGAUGAGGCCUUACUGGAAAAUUGUUUCCACAAAAGACCUUCCAUGAAUAAAGUGAGAGCAGGAUUGCUGGCUGGGGCGUGUUGGGCUGGGUCUCACGGGGCCUCUUCCUGUGUUUGCAGUUUAGCAUCUGUACCUCGUGUCGAAUACGGAAAAUAGUUAAGAGAUAAUAAGGCAAUAAAAGUGUUUCCUCACUUGGGAAAUGCGCAGUGCACACAUUGGCCAGUUUAUUCGAACCAGACUCUCGUGCCCGGAGGCUCAUCCGGCUCAGCUGGGAGGUGGACGAUGCCUCAUUCGCGAGGGCCUUCUCCACCAGGCCCGGCAGGAGGCACAGGACGUGGUUCCUACGCAGUGAGAUGGAAAGGGAGCUGCUGAAGGUGUCCCUGCUCGAGAGGGCGUCUUGUGCGGCUCUGCCGGGGUGCCCGCAGACCCCACCGGCAGAGACGCACACGCUGUGUGGAGGGGUUGGGCCUCCAGUGAUGCGAUGUUAACUCGUCUAUGACACUUGGCAGUGGGGAUGGUAGAAAAGACACAGACUUUAGCUCAGAGAUCGCUGCGCUUAACGCUGGACCUUUAAAUAAAUUACAUUAUCUCUACAAGUUCUUCAAGUUUGGGGGCGUGCUGCCUUCCUGUUGAGGGCUGAUGGGAAGAGGCCACUCCACAGGGUUGUCGUGAGGGUUAAGUUACGUGAUGGCUUUAAUGGAGGGAAUGAACACGUAAUUGCCUCUAAUAGCUGUCAUUUCCAUGCGAAGUGGAGAGGUGAAUCAUGAAAGGAGAGGGCAGAAGUCCAGCGUGGGGCUGCCCCCUCGACCUGGAGCCCUGGAAGUCAGGAGAGAGCCUGCGUGGGGUAGCGGGGGAGAGAGUAGGCAAGGGAAAGGGCAGAGCAUAUGACGAGGGGAAAAGGACGCCGAACACAAAUGCCACCGACUCUAAGCCUCAGACUUAUCCUAAUGCCUGGGUGAUAAAAUUAACAGAAUGAGGAUGAUAACGUCAUUAUGUCAGUCACAAUUAAAGCAGGAGAAAAAGAAUGUACUGCGUAUGUAGGAAGACCUUGGUAUGUGACAUGGCUACCAUGUGUAAUCCAGAUGUUAAUUUAAAUUCACUUAUUUAUACACCUCUUUUGAGAGCUUUCUCAAUGCCAGGCACCACUCAGAGUAGAGGGGGUACGUACAGAGUGACCACAACAGCCCCCUGCUGCCGGGGAGCUCACGAGCUAACAGGGCAGAGGGACAAAACCAAUAAGGAAAUAAUAGACUAUAGCAAGUGAUGAAUGUUAAGAGAAAAAUAAAGUAGGUAGAGAUACAGGCAUGUGAGGGGUGUAUUUUAGAGAGGGUGAUGAGGGAAGUCCUCUCUGAUAAGAUAGCAACUAAAUUAAAAAGAAAACUCUUCGUUUACUCAUUUCAUUCAACAAGCCUUUACUGAUCCCCACCACGCGUCAGGUCGUUUGCUGGGAGCUGGGAACAUAACAGUGGACAAGACUGAUGAAUGCCCUCCUCUCAUGGAGCCUUCGUUCUUAUGGGGGGCGGGAAUAAAUGUUUAAACAAGUGAGUGAGCAAGAUAACUUCACAGAGUGUAAAUGUGUACAGGCAAUAGAUGACGUCAAUCGGAGAAUAUGAGAGGGAGGCUUGGGGGGCCCGGACAGGGGAAGUGGGUGGCCACGUGUAAGACAGAAUUAAAAUCUCCAGAGAACUUUGGCAUAUAAGUGUGCAAUAAAAGUUGUAACUUAUUCGUUACAUAUAAUGUGUGUUUGUAGUCCUGGAACACCUUUAUUACAUCAGAAUAUGUUAAUAAAAGUUUAGUCCCAAUUAGUUUCUAUGUGGAUCAAUAUGAAAAAAAAAUGGCUGGGUUAUUUUAUAUAUCUCUCUCUCUUUCUAUCGCCCUCUUGAUCAAUCCCAUCUUCCCCUCUUCACUGUCCCCCCACGACUUGAGCAUUUUUGUUAUCACCCAUUUACAGUAUUUAGAGGCCAGCAUUCUGUACACACUCUACCUGUUUGAACCAUGUCAGCUCACUGCCACUUUCUAUGAUCCAGCUAAAUGGAGUAUGCUUAAUAUUGUAGUGUAAGGCGUUCUCUUUAUUUCUAGAAUUAUCUCGAGAUCUCUGGCUAUCCUCACUCUCCCACAACAAAGGCUCAAUGUUGGUGUAUUCAGAUCUAUUCUCUGAUACCAGGACAAUGUUUAAACAAUUUCUUAAACCAUCCCAAACACACUAAGCCUCCCCAGGUCUUUUCUGCAGGACGGAUUCCUUCCACCCAUCUUUGAAAGGGACUCAGUCUCUUCUUUAGAACGAAUCAAGUGCUAGGACAGGGUCAGGGCUGAAUGGGCCCGUCAGCUCCAUGAAAGUGAGCUGGUAGCCGUCUUUACCUUCCACCUGGAAGCUCUCCCUGGAUUCCCCUGCACAUGCAUUCAUUCAUUCCCUCAUUCAUUCAUCCGUUACUCACUCAGUGGGUGCUACCAAGUGCCAGCUAAGCUCUGUGGAUGCAAAGAUAACGUUAAUUCCUUUCCUUGAAGAGCUUACACUGUAGGGGCGUGAAGAAAACUAGUCAGUGGGUGGUUGUAAUACGCUGAGAUACCUGCUAUAAAGAGGGUUUGUUAGUAUAUUAGGGAGCAUGGAGAAGGGAGUGUCCACUCCAUGUAAGGACAUCAGGGAGGGAUUUAGAAGAGGACGUUGGAGCUGAGCCCUGAAGGAAGUGUGGAGGCCAAGCAGAAAAGGCAGGAGGGGGAAUGGCUUCAGGGCUUCGGAAAUGUUUAGAAUGAAGGGCAUUUGAAGCAGCAAGAAGCAGGCGCAAGGUACGGAGGUAUAUGGUUCAUGCUGGGGGCUCUCCGGGGUGGAGGGAGAACCGGAGAACAGCUGGGUCCAGGUCCAGACGGAUUUGGGGUGCUCCAAGAAGAGGUCCAGACUGGGCUGUGUACACCCUGGCGUGCUAGUGGAGGGGUUCGAGCAGGUGAGUGACGCGAUCAGCUCUGUCGGCUUUUAGAAUAAUCACUUUGGGAUCCAGGUGGAGAAUUGAUAAGGGCCUGAGUUCGGACAGCUGUUGGGUGGAUGGAGAAAAGAUGGGUCUGAGAGGUGCUUCAGAGUAGAAUGAACAGAACUUAAUAACUAAGUAAAUGUGGGGCGAGCACUGAGGAGCGAUGUGGAUGAAGAGAAGGUCGGUGCCAUGAACUGAGUUCGGAGUACGCGGUGCUAGCUCUUUAGAAACAAUGAUCCAGAUACAAUAGUAGGCUGAAGAAUGCUUUUUACAAAAAAGUACUUGUUUAAUUGAAUAAAAUCAUUCCCUUAAAUACUUUUUAAAUUUUUUGCAAGUGUUGCCUUUUAGAUAUUUAAAUCCUUUGAUGUCAGGGAUAUGUUUCAAUAAUUCUUUUGAUCAAGUUUAUCUCUGUAAGUUAAUGGCGUUUGACCCAGGUUCGGCAGGGCCCUGAGGCUUCACUGGGAACAAGAAAGGCCUGAGCAGGCACAGCUCCAGACCACCUCUCUGCAGAGUCAACCGCAGCACGUCCCUCUCGUGUGUUCUAACACUGGGCUGAGGGUGGGAAUUUCAGAAAGAGCUCUGGAGCUGUAUGAUCUCUGAAAUCACAGUCCCAUACCAGUAACUCGUGCAGUAUGCUUUCUUCAGUGUCAGUGCUUGGCUGAAGGUCUGUGUUAUAGAGUGUUUCUUUGUUUUGUUUUUGUUUAUUGUUUGUUUCUAUCAUAGAAAAUGUAGAUCAUAUCAGGGGACCCGUACUCAUAAAUCUAGUAUAUUAUGCCUGGUCGUUUUUAACUGCAGAUAACAUUGUUUUAAUUGCCACGUAUUUCUUUUUCCUAAUAAAUGUACAUCUCACCCGCAACGGCCUAUGUUUCUCUUGAUGAUGGAAUGAGAAUCAAACAUCUGCAGCUGGAACAGCCACCCGGCGUGUGUGUCAGUCUCAAUGAGGUGAAAAGUGAAAGCCAGCCACACGUCAGCGGAGAAUUAAUGCAAGCUGUUGUUUCUGAGUUUUCCAAAUAUUUUCCAACUCCCAUUGUGUGUUUUUGUGUUUUGUACUCAAACCUCCUGCCAAAACCUCCCCCAACAGCAUUCCUGCCUGGGUUCCUAAAUCAUUUGGACAGCAAACAAAACUUCUCAUAGGCCAUUCAUCUCAAGGAGAUACGGAUGCCUUUGUGCCCUAGGGAGACCGAAAGCAGAGGUUGUCCGUCUCUGCCAAGGAGAUUGAUGUCUCCGUCGAUAUCACCGUGGGACACAUGGGGGAGGCCGCCUCUCUCCGGCCCCACAGCUCCUUCCUGACUAUCAGCUCACCAGUGAUUGCGGUUCCAUUCCUUUCAUUGUUACAGCAAGGGAAUGUUAAGCUUUACUAACUCCUUAUUCAAAACGCCCUUGAAAAAGACAAUGAGGCGUCAGAAAAUAAUAGAAUCUCGUUAUAAUUCCUCCACAGACCUUUCAGAUGUCCUUGGAAAACACUAUUGUAUCUGACUCAGUUUCCCUCUCUCUCAGGAAUAGCAGGUGUACAGGCAUCUAAAGUCUGCCUGGAUACCGAGGUGCCUCUGAUAUCUUGAAUAGUCAACAGGAGUGAGAUCUUUUCCGUAAAGUCCCUUUCACAUUCCCUAUUGUUUCCCUGAAUUCAAGACAUCUAAUAAGAACCACGAACACCAUAAUUUAAUGCCAGCUCUCUGUUUUGCGACAAGCCAGUUCCAUCCUGGAGCGAAAAAAGCAGAGGGGGAGGCUGUGGUUCAAAAUGGGAGGCAGUUCAUUUCCUAUUAUUUGAAAUCUACGUUCCAUUUUUUUUCUUUGUGGAUUUUUAAACUAGGGGUCUGUUUUGUUUCCAUAUUCAUAAAGAACAUGAAAAGAUUUGGAAGGAAAAAGGAAAACAUCCCUGAAGACCCUCCUGCAGGUAUUUUAAACCGCUUUAGUGUGCACGGAUAAAAAUCUAUCGCAGUUGGUGUGUGGGAUCUUGAUUUUUGUAGUUAUGAAUUAUUUAAACCAAGUUUAUGUGACGUAAAGAACAAUUGUCUAAAAAUACAAAUGAUCGUUCUCUUCCUUUUGUGUUGUAAACUCCUUGGUGCUGCAGAGGUCAUGAAGGAAUACUUUCUUCCCUAUCAGCUUAGCUCCCAGCCUUGCUUUCUGGCUUUGGCUGAGAAUUUGGGCUGAGAUCAGCAGAGUCAACCACUGAGUUUCCCCAGGUUCAUGGAGACGGGUGUCACAUGCAGCAAAACAAUGACCUGUGUACCCCCAGCCUUCAGGUCGGCCUCUAUGACGUUUGGCCUGAUUCUCGUUUCAACAAAUGUCUAAAAUUAUAGCAUCUAAUUGAUCGCUUUCCACAAGGGGAACAGCAUAGGAAAAUGGCCCCAGGCUCUGAAAGCUGCUGGAACUUUCGCUUUGGUUAGCUUUUUUCUAUUUUAGGGUCCAGCUUAGCUCUGUGCUAGUAGUACCUUUUUUUGCUUUUCCAUUCUAAAAUAACUCAGUAUACCUGUGAGCUAAUUAACAGGCCAUUCGAAUUUCUUGACCUUCCAUAGAGAAGACUUGUGGGGUGGAAUGAACCCAGAGUAAUGUCUCUCAUCUCUUUUUCUCUCUCUGUCUCCGUGGGCUCGAGUGAUAAAUAGUAAAUCCUACACUGCAUUCAAAAGAAUAACUUGAAAAAUAUACAAUGGGGAGAUUUGAUUUGAUGAGAUUUUGAUGUGGACAAGUUCCCUGGGGAUGACAGUCAGUUACAGGCCAGGCGUGAGGGAGCAGUGGGGUUGCUCUCAGUCCUGCAGGGGUGGUUUCGGGGCGCAGCUAGGGAAGUGUCCUACAGUCAUGGGACAGCCUCAUGGCAUCCUCAGGCCUGUGAGAGUGUCUUUGUUUCCAGCCCUAUGUUUCAAAUGGGAUUUGCCCAAACCAAAAAAAAGAAAGCCCUGGAAAGAGUGACCAGGAUAACUAGAUCUCGAAAUAGUGGCACUUAAGUGAUGAGUGAGGAGCCAGGAAGGGUACGACUUAGGAUGGCACAUCACUACUCUUCCGGGUGUUGGAAGGUGAGAAAGAGGGGUGACGUGUCUACACCGUGGCUUCAGAGAGUGGAGUUCCGGCCAGCAGGUGGAAUUAUGGAAAAGUCUAUUUCAGCUUAAGCGAAGGAAGCCACUUCGAAUGGUCCGAGCUCUCUGAAGUGGGAGUGGAGUGCUACAGGGUGUGGAGAGCCACUGUCGCUGGGGGUGAGCAGAGAGGGUGGCUGCUCCGCUUGGGGGAAUGUGGUAGGGACUGGACUGGACCGUCUCUGUGGAGCCUUUCAACACAAAGAUCCUCUGAUUCUGACAGUAAACGUGAAUUCUCUCCGUCUCUAAUUGUGCGAGGAUUCACCCGUAAUGGGCUCUCUACAAAAACAGAGUGGAAAUGUGCCUGAGGGAGGCACCGUGGGCUGGCUGGCUUUACUAUUUAUGGGACGAUAUACCUAACUUCUCAAUGUUGACGUGUGUGGAAUGCAGUAGAACACAUCUCAUAGGGUUGUUAUAAGGAUUGAAUAAGGUAAUAUAUGGAAAGACAUUAGACCAGGACAUAACUUGUGCCAGGGCUUGCUUGUCAGGAGGUUGAAUAUGCAUAUAGGGUUGAGAAGUAGAUAUAAAUAUAUAUAUAUACAGCUGUUAUCAUCAUCAGCUGGAGACUUGUAUGUACUACAUCAACAGUAUCUUAACCGAAUUCAGGUAACCGCGUAUUCAUGUUGUGGAGUCCUGUUGAGUGAGAUUCUGCUGGAAGGCUGGUCCAACUUAAUCCUCAGCUGUUUAUGACUGAAUGCAGAAUGACUAACUGAAGAGUGUUUGUACUGCUAGUGGACAAUGACUGUUCUGAUUUGAAAAAUACCAAAAUGCAUGAUAUUCUUAUUCAACCAAUUGCUUUCACAAUGAGCCUAUAAACAGUUUAGUUAACAUUUCUAGGUCUCAUCUAAAAUAUCAAGUUUUCCAAUUUACUCAUGCUGGCUGGACUCCCAAUUAUUAUUCUAGUAACAAAACUGGGGCCAUUUCAGGAAAUCAGUGUGAAGGGACUCUCCCUGAAUUUUAACAUAAGUAAAUAAAUAGUUUCUAGUUUUAGACGUAGAUGAAUUAGUGUGUUUAGUGCAAGCGUGCACUGCAAGCAUUAUCUAGCAGAGGGAGAAAGGGACAUUUUGGAUCAAGGGGAACACAAUAGCAUGGGUAAUGUUAUUAACUGCACAUUUCCCCCCUCCCUUAGUAAUGUUUAACAAGGCUUUAUCGAUGACAAUAGCCUUGAUUUGUACAUGGGAAGAGAAGAUUACAUUGUGGGCACCAGACCAAUCCUGUAUACAGCAUCUACAAACCACAGACUUCAUUAAUAAUUGAUUAUGGGGGAUUGGACAAACCCACACUGGCCUGUCUUUGCCAGCACGCUUCCUCGCAAUACGCGGUCUUAUUUAUGAAUAAUUGUAGGGUCCUGGUUCUCCAAGGGGCCGUAGACUGGAAGGCAGAGUACUCAAUCAGUGGCACAGCCAGUCAGGGUUCUGACUCUUUUUGCAAAGCCUUUUACACUAGAUGCAUGUGGAAUCUUCAUCAACAGCGUCUGGACCUGGGUUGCAGAUGUAAAAACCUGACAGCUCAAUAAUAGAAGACAUUUCUGCAGGUGCAGAGUGACCUUCAGACACUCCUAGCUGCUGCUUCUAUGCAGCUUCCCCAGGAGGCUGCAGCUGUAUGUCAGAGACCGUGAAGAUUGGGUUCAGAAAGUGUUAGGAAAGCGUUUCCCGUUGUAGAGGAAGAAAAAUCGACCCGUUGUCUGGAAUGCUAUUGUGAAAUCACACUGGUGCCACGGCCUGUUUUUCUGGCAGUGAAACCACAGAAAUCACCUCUCUCGGAAGGCCAAGCAUGGAGAAGAAUUCUCCAGCUGAGACUUUUGUGGUCGUCUGGCUCUGUUUACAACCGACAGAGCAGGCCCCAGUUGAAUGAGGAUGCUAUGAUUGAAAAGGACGAUUGAGAAUAUUUAAAUUACUUUCAGAGGAUUUAUACAAGAGCAAGAUUGGAAGAAAACCCAGAAACUUUCUAAUUUAAAAUUGUUUUGUUCUUCUAAUAAAUAUUUCUUUGAUUAAACAGAUCCAUUGGCAAAGGCCUGAAAUCAUGGUUGAGAGUGUUAUUUUGCUGAAAAAUUGAAUCAAGAAACACUCAUGGGACAACAGCCACCAGGGGUAGGGUUCUGGAGGUGGAUGAUUCCUGAGGCUGUGUUGAAUGCUUGGUACGAGAAGAGACUGGAAAACACCCGUGGGCAAAGGGGUCGCUGGAGGAUGUCCCACCUGGAAAUGCUUCGGCUUUGAAAGAACUCCAGAAGGAAAGCGGUCUGGAAGUGUGGUCUCGGGCAAUCAGGGGCCUCAGAGAUGGGAGAGUGAUGUUUCUUAUUCCCCAGGCUGAGGGGGAGCACAGCUCAUCUAGAAAACUCUGAUAAACUACCACCAGAUGACGCUGUUUCCUCAUUAGGCCAGUGGGACCUGUCACCCAGAGGCCCCACAAGGCAGAGGCAGGAGUGCGGCCUUGGCCUGGGGUCUCGUUCCAGCUCUGCCGCUCAGCAGACGGAGGCCUGGAAGGAGCAGACCAACAAGGAAAUCCUGGAAUGGGUGAUGGCUGAAGCCUCUCCAGUUACUUUUUAAAGAGUUUUAUUUUUCAAAUUCAAGCCUUAGUGAUGCCUUUUAUGUAAACAUAGUCUGUGUACAAACAUAUCCAUUUUUAUUUAACUAAAUCUCCUUUAGAUACUUAAAUUCUGUAAAGACACAGGCGGAGAUCCAAUGGACAAUGGCACACCUGGUACAUUGGUGUCCCUCCUGAGCCCAAGCAGCGUCCCCAUGUGAAGUCUUAUUUGUGCUCUCAAAGAAUCGUAGAGUAGGAAGAAUCUUAGAGGGGGUACAGUUCGGUCCUCUACGUUUCCUAUCUUAUAUCAAAGCAUAAGCUUCUCCAGGGGGUGGGGAGAAUCUUAUUUUUUCCUGUUGUGGCUCCUUUUUAGGGGCAGUGGUUCUAGAACCAUGUACUUAUGUUCUGGGUCAGCUCUGCGUUCCAUCCUCCUGUGCAAUCUGUUAGACAUGACACAGGGGUUCUGCAGCUCUGUGAAAACUUCCUGGAUUACUGAACGAAUGAAUGACAGAACAUUUAGCCUUCAGGUUUGAGGUCCUGGUCUUGCCUUCUCUUUAUAAAGCAGAACUCUGCUCUCUGUUUGCUCCAGAUGUUUUCAGUUUUAUGGGAAUUAAACUCCAAGGCAAGAAUAUAGUGGCAGAUCCAGUGCCCAAACUGUGCCCAUUCCUGCCCCCAACACGGAGGAAGUACCGGGUUCCAUGCCUCUGCUUCGUGCUGACCGUUAGUGGAGCCCGGACCAUUUUAGCACAAAGAAACGCUCACGAUUUUCCCAGUGAGUCUUGAAGGUCAUUUGUCUGCUGCUCCUCACAGUAAUCAUAACAACCGUUUAUUCCUUGUAAACAAAACAGCACAGCCUUAACCUACACCACCGUAAAAACAUUAUCCCGGUAGGACAAGAGAGUUGCUGACUGUUAAAAAGAAUUGGCAAGAAAGGUGAAAAAGAAACAAGUCUUGAAAACUAAAAUAUUUUCAUCUGUAUCUUACAAAUGUGGUGACAUAUAUUUCUACCUGAAAAAGGUGAUGGACUUCAAUUUUGUCCUUUCCCUUUGCUUACCCUAUGGAGGACAAUUUUCAGUGAAUAUUCAAGUUCUCUUGCUUUAAGAAGAAAACAAGAAUGGCAAUGACCCCUGCAUGCACUGAUGACCGAGCAAGUUCUCUCCCUGGACCAGUUCCACCCCAGUGUUCACAGUUAACAAGGUUUCAUUAGAGCUGCAAAAAAAUGUGCCUUUGCUUCCAGACGCGAGCAGCGGAGCUCUGUUGGGGCCUCAGCAGGGAACAGAUUUCCCUUUUCAUCUUUUCGCUUCCCUGGUGUGGGAGCUUGUCUUUUGAAAUAGUGGCAAUCAGAACAAAUUACCUAAAGUGUGGGGAAUGAAAAGAUUUCACAGUCGUGGUGGGUAUAUUUUAGUUUUCUUUAACAAUUGGUACCUUCCCCUAAUGAUUGAAAAUGAUCCAAGAAAUCUGUGUCCUCCUGCCAAGGCUUUUGUGAGAGUGUGAGCUGGAGAGAGCUCUUUGGUGACAGAUUGUUUCAGCCAGUGCUCAGGAGCUCCUGAAAACCAGCAGCCUGCCUUGUUGCCUGGUUCCCUCCCUUGACAGGGACCAAGAGGUUUGGGGACAAUUGCUGCUCUGGUUGGGAGAGUCGGAGCCUGGAAGAGGGGAGGGUUUUGCGGCUGGUGUUCGGCUCACAUUCCAGAUGCAGAGUUUGGCAUGGUCCUUGUGUCCCUUGUAGUCUUGAGAAGAAGACAAAGAAUGGGCUGCUCAGCAUCUACCCUCGAGUUUUCCUUGAUGUCCCAGUCCCAUUAGGACCCUGGUUAUUGGCAGGAAGGAACCUCAUGCACCUCUGAAACACCGUGGGUGGGCUGCACCCGCUAUUUCAUCCCUCACACCCCACCAGCCCAGGUGUGCUGGAAAAUGAGUUCACUUCCAGAGGUUCAGGGCAAUGGAGAACGUGCCUGAGUCCUCCAGGACUAGGUAGGGGUUGGACCUCUGAGAGGAGACCUUGCAGGCUUAGGAUGGGAGGCUAUGGCAUUCCUGGGGGACGCCUGGAGAGAACACUUGCCCCUUCAGGUGUCAUUUCUGGAGCUUUCUACUUGAUGAGUUAGAAACAAGUGGAAAUAAGAACAGCCAGCUAUUUGAAAGGUUACCUCCUGGACAAACCAGUGCUGCCCAGGCUUCACUGAGAAGGCUGUAGGAAGAGUGCUGGAGCGAGGUGUCAGGGGAAGGUCUUUGGGCAAGAGGCUGUGUCACUCCUGGAAGGUCGUGUGGAGAGGAGCUAGCAUCCGUUGCCUUGGACGUGUUCCCGUUAACUGAACGAAUAAAUGGGCAGAGGUUGGAAGGGCCCUCACUAGGACCAAAGAGCCUCAUCUUAUCCAAGACUAAGGUCCUCGUGGAUCGGCCAGAUGUGCAAAGUCUGGGGAGACUUCAAGAGGGGAUAAAGGCUCAGUGUGUGUAGUGGGAGGGAUUUAGACAAGAAGAAAUUUUCAACAGCAACUCAAGAAAGUGUAUAUGACAUCACUGCUUUCUCUGGGUAAGGACAUGAGUACGCUAAGCAAAGCGGACAUAGCAGCCCCAGAUCCAUGUGUGUCUGGGUGGGAAUCUGCAGGUCAUCUCUGCAGAUGGGUUUAAUCAAAAGCAGGCAUCAGGGGGCUGGGAGAGGGUGGGGUCUGAGAACAACCCUCAGUCUUCAGUGGCUGACAGACUGGGUGCUUGCCAGCAAGCUCAGUCAUCAGAGACUGAGCGUGGGGUGCAAAGCCCAGCCACUGGUGGCUGUGGACUCCAAGGUCAGAGCAAGACCAAUUUUAUCAAGAUUACUAGACCAAUUUCAAGAUAAGGCCCAAUGACCUCUCUUCUCCUUUGGGACAAUGUAGAACUUCUAUUUAUUCUGUGAGUUACUUUAAUGCUGAGUGAUUCAAAUAUUCAUUUCUGUCUUCUUUUAGUCAAGCCAAAUUUUUCAUGUGCUUGACCAAAAGCUGUUGAAAAAUCAGGAUAAUAGCCAGGAUUCAGAGUAAUUUCUAAAAUAGACGAUCAGGUGUCAAAAUUAUGAGACCGCUGCUUGAACAUGAAAACAAGUAACGUGACCAACUUAAGUUCAAACCCAGUAUCAGACAAAAGAAGUUUAAUUGUAAAUUUUAACAGCUGCCUCUGGACUGCCCUCUGCAUGGACCUGUAGGGCAGCCCGUGCAAAGAGAGGCGAUGAGUCACCAGUAUGUCUGUGUCAGGUGGUGAGGAGAGUGUCAGUUUCUAAAAUUGAUCUUGGAUACAUUCAUGUCAGUGUCAUCUCAAGAUGCUUCUGAUAUCAGUCUUGUGCUAAAGAGUGGGAUUAUUUUGGAGAAGUUCUAACGAGGGGGUCAUCUUGAGCAGGUCACUGAGAAUCCUCUUCUGUUUUCCACGGUGAUGGCAGCACAGUCUCUCCUGCUUCACAAAAAGCAGUCACUCCCGGGGGGCAUCGGAGAAGUGCUGAUGGUGGAGACGCGGAAGGACGGGAGGAGGUUGUUCUGGGCAACUUGGCUGAACAACUCCAUGAAUUUGAGCUGUGUUUCACUCCCCUUAAAUUUUUUCAGAGGAAGGAAUAGUGGCCGAAAGUUAACAGUUACUGAAGUUUGGUGGUAGGUAAAGGGAGUCCAUUACACUCUCUUCACUUUUGUUUAAAAUUUUCUAUCAUAAAAGUUAAUAUUUCUCCAAAGUUGUUGCUAGAAAAUCUUUUUUUUUAAAUAAAAAGAAAAUAAUUUAAAGGAUCUUGUAUUCUCAUUGAUUUUCUUAACUGAAAGCCACCUUAAAAAAAGAAAAAUAUAUGUACAUAGUUAUUAUGCCUAUUUUGCCUAUAUUACACAUUUAUAUACAUCUAUUAUUUAUAUUUCUAGUGUGUAAGAGAGAGAAAGUGAACAAAUAAGUAUUUUCCCUAAAGAGACUAUAUGUUUUUUCUUAGCACACUAGUGCUUAUAGUCUGAAAAAUUCCAUUAAGACAUGGAACGUAGACAACCAGAGUCCACUUUCCACUUCACUGGGGAGCUCAGGAAAUGACUUAGUUGAAGCCACACACACAGAAGUACACACACUUGCCUUUCAUGACAUUGGUGAUCUUUUCUGCAGGGAAACUCCAGCCAUCAUUGGUUCCAGCCCUGAGGUGCACUCUGAAAUGUUCAGUGCAGCAGGAUUCUUGAUAACUCGUCUUCCAGAGGGACUAGUGCUUGGUUUAACCAGGAAAUCACUUUUACUAGAGUCUGGAAAAUGGCUUAGAGAAGAGCAAGGGUGCCUGCAGCCCUGGACAGGCGGCGGUUAGACUGGGAGCCAGCCUCUCGGCCGUGAAUUGGGGACAUGGAGGGCAAGAGAAAUAGCACCUCUAGAUGUGCUGAGAAGAGUCAGGCAGGUCAUGGGGACCCAGAAUCUUGAGAAGGAUCCUACCAGUUACUGACAAUGCUGAAGAUGGAAAUUGUCAGAGAAGUUCGAUGUGUCCUGCCGAGUAAACUGACCUUACGUGCAUUUCUGUCUUCCAAGGGCUGUGGCCCCCAACCUGGUAGUCCCCUCGUCAGACCCUCAUGUCUCCACCUUCACUGACUCAGUGCACCUUGCUACCAGGAUACAGAAACCGGCUGCUGAUUGCACAGCACUUCCAGGCCCUGAUGGAGCAGCCUGGGCUCCGUGGGCACCUGCACCUGCAGGUUAUUCCUUCUGCUGGGAAGCUGGACAGAGGAGAGUGAGGAUGCAGUCAACUACUGAAGACUUGACUGGACACUGUACUUUUUGACUUUUACUGAAAGAAACCAUAAGAAACAGCCAAGGAAGACUAUCUGGCAUCUUCCCCCACCCCUGUCUAAAAUUAUCGAGGACACUGUCAUCAUAUUUCUCAGCAUCCAGGUUCCCAGGUGAUGCGUAUGCUGCUGGUGUGGAACCUGCACCAUGAGAACAACUGUUCUCGUGGCUCUCCACUCUGGCUACACAUCAGAACUGCCUGGGCAACUUACAAAAAAUUACCUGUGAGUGCCUCAGUGCCCCCUCCAGAGACUGUAGGGUGCACAGAGCAAACCCUGUGUUCAGACUUCACCCUAACCUGACGGGACGUGUAGGCUGAUUUGCAUCAUUCUAAUUUGACCAGCGAUGAAGCUGGAGUUGGGAGAUCCGGUGAUUCGCCCACAUGACACAAGAAGAUGGCAGGAGCUCCGUGCUCCCGCUUCCUCACCUCAAACAUCCCGGUAGCCCCUGAUGUGCUCGAAGGUCAAGACCUGGUUUCUCCCUUGUGUGGCCCAGUGUGGGGGGCACCUCUCAGUGGCUUUUGAGACACGAGGCUCCGUCUGUGCUGCGCAGACUUAUGUGAUUUAUUUCGGGGAAGCCUGGCGUCAAAGAAAGUUACCAUUGUCACUUGCAAGGCUGUGUGUGUCAAGAAGAUGCAUUCAGAAAAUAAUUUAAUCUCUGGUGUUUGCUUUCAGCUGAUGGGAAAAACAUGAAUGUGAAUUCAGUUUAAUAAUGAAUCAGCAGCUUAGCCAAGCCCGGACUGUGUCACUCACUUGAUGUGUGACUCAUGUGCUGUUGGGUUUCUGUUGUUGGAGGAUGGAUGGCUGCAACUCCUGCAGAUAUACACAAAUGAAUUCCAUGUUUCCUGGGCUCUAACUUAACCUCAGCCCUCGCUGUUGCCUCCUGUUCUUGUAGCAGAGGUCAGACAGACCCUCAGCCAGACACACUGGGGGCUCACAUGGAGCUGCCCGCGGCUCUGCUCUUUGCAGCAACUACCAUCUUUUACCUCAUGAUCGCUCACAACACAUCAGGAGGAUGUCUCUUCACAGACCAAAUGGUAGGUUAUUGGGUGGCAGAAAUCAAUCUUUUAAAUCAGAGCAUUCAGAGUCAUAUGCUGAUAAUUUUAGUAAGAUCCCUUAAAAUGACUAGGCAUAGGUAUUCUUUUCUUGUGGUAACCCAUGACACAGAAGGUGUUUUAAAAUACCUGACUUUUCCAAACACUAGUGAUGCAGAGGAAACCACAUUGAUUUGGGAAUUUAAAAUAAGUGUUCUAAAUGAAGUUAUGCAAAAAAUUUACCAUCUCUAAUGUAAUGAGUAAACAAAAUCUCUAAAUAAUACAUAAAAUUCUUUUUAACUCAUAAUAUCCUCUCGACACACUGUUUCACAAACUUAAUAAAAAUUUUGGAAGUUCUUUGAAUUUUAUCCCCUUUUCCUUCCCCAAACUUCUAUUGAUGAAGAUACUAUUGAUCAAUAAAACAUUUAAAAGGUCUCUAGUACGUAGGCAAAGAGCCUGUGAAUCUUUUUAAAAAAUGAACAGUUUAGAGUUUAUCUGAAAGAAUUGAGUGUGAAAUACUUGGCAGACAUCAUCAAAUCAACUCAAUGUAAAUAUUUUGUGAAUAACAGUAAGUCUGCUAAAACAAUCUGGAAAAUCUUUAAAAUCUGUCUGACCUAUAUAGCUGUAUACACAGGCAGAUAUCUAAUUCUCCCAGAAUGUUUUUUGGUAUAUUUGUCUUCUGGUCUAUAGCUGCAAAUAACAGAAACCCAAUAUAAACUCUUUAAAGCAGAAGAAGAGAUGUUACUAGUCCAGGGUCCUGAGUUUGUUUUCGGAGCUCUGUCUGUCUCCAUCCUGCUCCUCUUGACUUCUCUUGACAUGUCAUGGCCUCAUUUUUAUCUAUUGUCGAAAGCUUCUUUCUUAUGGUUAGGAAAGACGACCGUAGACAGCUCUAGAUUUCAUUUUUCUUACAACUUGCCACCCUAGAGGGAGGGAGACCCUUUUUUGUCCCACUUCUACAGAGGAAAUCUCAGCAAAGACCCCAUCUGAUCUUGCUUGGGUCGCAGGUCCGUUCCUAAAGGCGCAUGCUGGCCUUCCCCACUGGAGACUGGGAGACAGUGGGGUUAGCCUCAUGGAAGCCACAAACUGUACUCCUUUUAGGAAAGAUGUGUACUGUUACCAGAAGAAAAGCAAAAGGGGGCUGGACAGACAAACUGCAACAGAUGUCCACUAUUUGGCCAUUUUAUUAUUGUUUUUCGUUUUUAUAAGCUGUAAAUUUAGUGGCAAAUUGGUCUUGUCUAUUUAAUGAUUUCUACAUAGAUUUUCAGGUGUAUGAGCAUGUCUGUGCACAUUUUUGUUUUGUCUUGUCUUAAAUAUAUGGUUGUGUUCUUUAAAGGAAAGUUCAGUUUUUACUGGGAAAUGCAUUUCCCUGUGUCCUGAACUCAGAAUGUCCCUGGAGUUUGUCCUCAGCACUGCUUUUGAAGCUCUGAACCAAAAACGAUUUGGUUAAUAACCACAUGAAAAUGGGAAAGAAGGCAAUGGAGAUAUGGUGUGCAAAGGGAGAAAUAAAUCCAUCAUUGGUUCCACAACACUGCUUUUACAAAAGUCCAUAAUGUGGGCAAACUGUUCUUCCCCACGACUGCGAAAGAUUGAGAUACGGGACUAUCAGAAACACGUAAGCAAUCUUAAUGAACUCUAUGCACAUUUUUUAUUUGACCUCAGGACAUUCUGGGACUCUGGGAUUCUGGGAAGGUACAUUUCAUAGGCAGAGCCUUAAUGUGUUAUGGGGGCUUCAGAAAAAGAACUAUCCCAGCAAUGGAGGUAGGAAAGCUCAGAUGGGAGUCUGCAAGUGAUUAUGGGAACUCCUGGAGAACAGCCUGUCCUCUGAGAAAGCUGGCUGCUUUGCCAGACUGGAAGUGGCAAAUGUGAAAUGAAAUGUAGUAGAGACCAAGAAAACCCACGGCAUUUGUCUUGAAAUAAAAUAAUAAUAAUAGAAAUAUCUCUCCCUGAAAAUUCAAGUUAAACUUCAUUUAACUCACAUAAGCAAUUAGAAAACCAGGCUCAACUACAUGUCCUGAAUGUAUUUUUUAACCUCAAAAAGAAAUAUAUGUGGAAUAUAAAAAAUGGCAUAUGUAGCGUGCCCAUGUGGCAGUGAUGGAGGAGCCGUAGGACAAUGGGGACGUGUAGGAAGGCUGGAGAGGUCAUGAUGCUUGUUCGUGACGGCGCCAAAGUGUGAACAAGAACUUAUGCCAGGAACAAAACUUUAGGUUUUGUUAUAAAACAAUGAAAAACUUUUAAAGAAAGGCUGCAAGGGCAAGCCUAAUAGUUUUUUUGAUUUGUUUACAUAUUACAGUUCCCAAACUUUAUGGUAACCUCAGUAGAUUAACAGAAACUCCUUUGAGAAACAGUUCAGAGUACUGGUAGUAAAUCCACAUCAGCCAUUUUCCAUACAAUAGAAGAAAAUGUGGAAAAUAGAGAAAAACAGACAAGAUAUUGAACCAGUGAGAUUGUUCAAAACUCAGUGACAUAAGAUGUCUGUUCAUCAGGAUUUACUUCUGUGCUCGAGGGAAGAAAAAUUGUUCCUCUCCAAUUUAAUUCUGAUGGCUCUGCUCUGGACCCCAUCUCCACUGAACUUCUCUGGAACAUGGCUCCAACAGCUACUCCAUGACAGAGCCUGCUAGGUGCCAACUCAACAUCCAUUUUCCUUAUCUUCCUAAGUAAAAGAGCCAAUUUUAUUCUGGGAGGCAAGGCGCUCUAUUAGAAGACUACAGUUCCUGGUCUAUCUUGAGGUUGGAGAGAGUCAAUGAGAGUAAAUGACAGUCAUGGAGUAGGGUUUCUGGGAAGCAUUUAAAGAGGCUAAAAUACCUGGGAGAUGCCUUCUUGCCCUUCUCCUCUUUGUCUUUUCUCUUGGCUGGAACCUAGAUGUGAUAGUGGGAACUCCUGCAGUCACUUCUGGUGAUUAGGGAAACUUGAAGAUGGAAGCUAUGGUGGUGAUGGAGAAGCAGAAAAACGGAAGGGACCUGGGUCUCUGAUGACCGUGGAGCAGCCGCACUGGCCCUGUCUCUGUCGAUCACUCUGCAGCCCCAGGAUGUACAACCACGUCAGUUAUGUACCAGGUGCUGAUUGACUUUUGCAUGGAUGAGUGCACAAAUGAGGAGCGCUCCCUGGCUUCCUCCCAUCGUCUGCAGCUGAUUCAGCUCUAUCCUGUGUAUAUGGUGAGGCUUUCCUCCCCAGUUCUACCAAACGCUCCUUCAGUUUCACUUUUGAGUCUUUUCUGUUCUGAGGCAGCCUUGACCUUCUCUACUUGACUGUCCUCUGAUCCCUGGAAAACUCUACAUUCCUGGAGUUUUAUUUUCACCUAGAUAGUGUCUAGUUUUAGGAAGAACAAGACUUCUUAGGAAAGGCCACUAUAAUUUGAUUUAUUUCUACAGGGGAGAAAAAAGUUAGGUGCUCUGGUCUUUAAAGCAACUUUCAGUAUACGGAUAGAUUUAUUUUUCAGACAACAGUGUCUGAUUAGUUUUCAUUUUCUGCUAAAGUAAAAAUAAGAGGAAGAAGGAGUUGAAAAUGAACCCAGUUAUUCCACUCCCUCCAGUGGUAGAAGCAUUUCACUGGGCUGUGAUCUUGGGCUUACCCAUGAGCUAUUCUUCAGUGUGGGAGCGAAAGUGAAGCAGCCAAUAUUUCUCAUCCGAACUGGGCACCUUGCUUGCUAGGUUGAUUAUAGGAAACUGGUUUCAUUGGGCAUUUUCAUCAGGAUGUUUCCGAAAUGUUCUUUGAAGUCUGUAGCCAUAAUAAAAGCAUUCGUAUAUUUCUUCAACAAAUUCGUUAAGCUCCUCCUCCGACAUGUGAGUCACUGGGUAAAGUGCAGAGCACAAGGUGGUGAACUAAACACACAUGGUUCUUGCCUCAUGGACCUUCCAGUCUACUGGGAGAGCCGUACACAAGAUAAUCAGGCAUAGCACUUUUUAAUUACAAAUUGUGAUAAAUACUGUCAGAGAAAAGAACAGGCACCAUCAAAGGGGAAAAGCAGGGAAAUGCUUUAUAUGGGUCAUCAGAGGAGGCCUUUGACAUCUGAAUCGAGACUUGAAAGAUGAGAAAAAUUUAGGCAGGAAAAUGGUUGAGGGAAGUGUGUUCUUCACAGAGGGAAGAAUGUCAGUGUGCUUGGCAGGGAGCAGCUUAAGAGCACUCGGGGAGCUCAGGGCUUCCCUGGGGUGCAGAGCGCUGG